CUGGCUGUCAUUAUCCUUUACUGGUUCCUUCCGUUUACUUCAUGCUCCCUGUUGCUCCAUUGAACUGCCUUUCUAUGACCGGUCCACUUCCUAAGCUUCGUGUCAGUGUGUUCUCAUGUCCCUAGAAAGCCUCUGCCGUCCUGUUUGAAUUGACUGUGGGGAAACCUUAACUGGGUUAGCAGCUGGGUCACACCAGAGCUCAUCAGGAGUUCAGUCCAAUCAGGACGAAAUACAACCCUCCUCAUCUGAUACCAGCACUUCACAGAGAUGGAUCACAAGACCGGGAGUCAAGUGAGUGCUUACAACUGUAAAACCGGCCUACUGCAGAGAAAACAUCAUCUAAGCAGUCUGGGUUUGAUGAAUAACACUGACGCACCAACAUUGAGAGUCAUCCAUCAGCUCUGCGCCAGCUCACGGAUAGAAAGGAGGACGUCAAAUACUAACACCCACAACUUCGCUCUGUGUGCAACACAACUUUGACACUCACAGGGCUGUGAAUUAUUUAAACUCCUCAGCAGCCAUACAUUUAAAAUCACUGAUGUACGCCCUCAGCGGAGGAUGGAUAGUUUCACGUAAUCAGAGAUGUAGUUAUACUUUCAUCCACUUGAGAAUCCAUCAUGUAUAAUGGUUUUAAAUAGUAAAGUGAGACAUGACUGCAUCAACUUGCCAGUAGAAUUUGAAAGUUACAAUAGUAAUUCUGCUUUUCAACAGCUUGUAUGGUGAAUAUUUUAAUUUUGGACUGUAAGGACAGUUUAAACUUAUGAUCAUUGAAAGAUGUAACACCUAACUCCCCAGCAACUUCUCACCAGCAGCAGUAAAGAAAAUGCUAUGCUUUUUUCCGUAAUCUUCAAUGUCAUCAAAUAUAUUCUUACCAAUAGAACUAUUAUCGAGGCCAGGAAGAAAAAAACAGAUGAAAGCUACCAUUAGUAUUGCAGCACAGCUAGCUGCUAUGGGAAGUGAGGAAAGUACCAGUUUCUAAUUGCAAUGGGCCAUUAGGCUUGGCUUUUUGUGUAUAAGAUUACUAUUGGAGCGCAACAACAUGCUACAGGAAGUUAUAUAUCUAGCAGUAUAAAAUUUCUAUGAGCCAAUGGAUUGGUGUUUUCUUACAACUUAUAAGCUAGGGUUUGCUUUACAGCACCGCUAAUUGUGAUCGGUGGUUAAAAGCUAGCAUUAGUAUGCAGCACAUCAAGGUACAAGAGGAAGUUUGAAAAAUUUAGUGGCAUUUUGAGGAUUGCACUUUUUACACAGUGAUGCCACCUCACACAUCUGGCAUGAGUCUCACAUUGUUUUGUCUCUCUCUCUUGCUCUCCCUACUCAGACAAAUCUUACUCUAAAUAGGAAAAGUAGUUGUAAGACAUUGCUUUCCACUGACUGGCCGUCCUAAAUACAGUGGCAAUUUUAACUCUUUCUUUUGAUGGGCAGGUCUGUCAAUGAAUGAUAUGUGCAUAAUAUGUGUGUAAUUUGUGCACAUAUGGCCUGUUAGUUUUCCUUCAACAUCUUGGCUAAAGGGUCUGGUGUCAAGGCCUGCCAACAUGGUCUUCAGGGAAUCUAAUGGAGACCUGGCCAUACUGGCCUCAAACCAGAGGAACCAUGCCCACUUCUGAAAUGAAAAAGGUUCUGCACAAAAAACAAACAUAAAAUAAAUUAGUUGUGCACAGGCUUCUUUUAAAUAGAUUGUUUUGUUUGUAUUCUCUGUGGUAGGGCUUCUUGGAAGAAAAGCACAGACACCUCUAAUGUGAACAUAUAGAAAGGUUCCUGGAGAAGUGUCCUGGUAUUAUAUUUAGCAAUAUGAGUAGGGAGGAGAACGAUGCGGUGAAGGAGGAAAAGCAAGAACAGGGGAGUAUAGGUUUUACAGUAUAAUUUUACGUGGCUCAUAAUAAACAUUUUUGAGACUGGUCGGUCGGUGAAGUGGUUGUGUGUUUGAUUGUAUUUGGGGCAGCCCAAGACACAAUUCCUGCCAGAAUAAGUGUUCAUAUAGGUGUUAUCAUACUAUUAUACAAUCUGAAGAUUAACCCUACUGAAUUCACCUUGAGCUCUGUUCCCCCACUCAGUCUCAGUUAAGCAGCAGAAAGUUUAAGAAUAAAAAUGAACAAUGACUUUAAAUAAAGUAAUAUUUUUGAGCUAAUUUAUUUGGCGCACUAUGGUCAGUGUUGUGUAUGAUGUAUUUCAUGUCAGUGUUCUUAUGAUCUCCAGGUGGCAACAUUGGGCACCAAAAGCCUCAAGAAAUUAACUAUUUCACUUGAGCAGAAAACAUCAGUCUUACUCAGCUCCUUAGCAUUAAAACCUCCUCAAGGAACAUACAUUUCAACUGUGACCUCAACAUACCAUGGGAUACCAUGAAGAGAAGGAGCAAUGUGUAAACUGGAUGUGUAAACAAUUUCUGAGAAUGAUCAAGUAAAGGCAAUGAUACAAGUCA
Girardinichthys multiradiatus is the source of this 2416-nucleotide long non-coding RNA. RefSeq lists it as uncharacterized. The record is from RefSeq and is a predicted model, not a curated record. NCBI's taxonomy places the organism in Eukaryota, Metazoa, Chordata, Actinopteri, Cyprinodontiformes, Goodeidae. The transcript is spliced from 4 exons.